GGGUUGUGAGGUUAAGCGACUAAGCGUACACGGUGGAUGCCCUGGCAGUCAGAGGCGAUGAAGGACGUGCUAAUCUGCGAUAAGCGUCGGUAAGGUGAUAUGAACCGUUAUAACCGGCGAUUUCCGAAUGGGGAAACCCAGUGUGAUUCGUCACACUAUCAUUAACUGAAUCCAUAGGUUAAUGAGGCGAACCGGGGGAACUGAAACAUCUAAGUACCCCGAGGAAAAGAAAUCAACCGAGAUUCCCCCAGUAGCGGCGAGCGAACGGGGAGCAGCCCAGAGCCUGAAUCAGUGUGUGUGUUAGUGGAAGCGUCUGGAAAGGCGCGCGAUACAGGGUGACAGCCCCGUACACAAAAAUGCACAUGCUGUGAGCUCGAUGAGUAGGGCGGGACACGUGGUAUCCUGUCUGAAUAUGGGGGGACCAUCCUCCAAGGCUAAAUACUCCUGACUGACCGAUAGUGAACCAGUACCGUGAGGGAAAGGCGAAAAGAACCCCGGCGAGGGGAGUGAAAAAGAACCUGAAACCGUGUACGUACAAGCAGUGGGAGCACGCUUAGGCGUGUGACUGCGUACCUUUUGUAUAAUGGGUCAGCGACUUAUAUUCUGUAGCAAGGUUAACCGAAUAGGGGAGCCGAAGGGAAACCGAGUCUUAACUGGGCGUUAAGUUGCAGGGUAUAGACCCGAAACCCGGUGAUCUAGCCAUGGGCAGGUUGAAGGUUGGGUAACACUAACUGGAGGACCGAACCGACUAAUGUUGAAAAAUUAGCGGAUGACUUGUGGCUGGGGGUGAAAGGCCAAUCAAACCGGGAGAUAGCUGGUUCUCCCCGAAAGCUAUUUAGGUAGCGCCUCGUGAAUUCAUCUCCGGGGGUAGAGCACUGUUUCGGCAAGGGGGUCAUCCCGACUUACCAACCCGAUGCAAACUGCGAAUACCGGAGAAUGUUAUCACGGGAGACACACGGCGGGUGCUAACGUCCGUCGUGAAGAGGGAAACAACCCAGACCGCCAGCUAAGGUCCCAAAGUCAUGGUUAAGUGGGAAACGAUGUGGGAAGGCCCAGACAGCCAGGAUGUUGGCUUAGAAGCAGCCAUCAUUUAAAGAAAGCGUAAUAGCUCACUGGUCGAGUCGGCCUGCGCGGAAGAUGUAACGGGGCUAAACCAUGCACCGAAGCUGCGGCAGCGACACUGUGUGUUGUUGGGUAG
RNAcentral lists this ribosomal RNA (1198 nucleotides) under Escherichia coli. RNAcentral describes it as "partial 23S ribosomal RNA". It matches the Rfam family "Bacterial large subunit ribosomal RNA", at positions 1 to 1231 of the family's 2925-position model. Lineage: Bacteria; Pseudomonadati; Pseudomonadota; Gammaproteobacteria; Enterobacterales; Enterobacteriaceae. The record is from RNAcentral.